GACGAACGCUGGCGGCGCGCCUAACACAUGCAAGUCGAACGGAGCUGUUUUCUCUGAAGUUUUCGGAUGGAAGAGAGUUCAGCUUAGUGGCGAACGGGUGAGUAACACGUGAGCAACCUGCCUUUCAGUGGGGGACAACAUUUGGAAACGAAUGCUAAUACCGCAUAAGACCACAGUGUCGCAUGGCACAGGGGUCAAAGGAUUUAUCCGCUGAAAGAUGGGCUCGCGUCCGAUUAGCUAGAUGGUGAGGUAACGGCCCACCAUGGCGACGAUCGGUAGCCGGACUGAGAGGUUGAACGGCCACAUUGGGACUGAGACACGGCCCAG
This 327-nucleotide ribosomal RNA is filed under the name uncultured bacterium. RNAcentral describes it as "bacterial SSU rRNA". It matches the Rfam family "Bacterial small subunit ribosomal RNA", at positions 28 to 334 of the family's 1533-position model. The record is from RNAcentral.